RNAcentral lists this ribosomal RNA (253 nucleotides) under uncultured bacterium. Its description in RNAcentral is "partial 16S ribosomal RNA". It matches the Rfam family "Bacterial small subunit ribosomal RNA", at positions 524 to 776 of the family's 1533-position model. The record is from RNAcentral.
UACGAAGGGGGCUAGCGUUGCUCGGAAUUACUGGGCGUAAAGGGAGCGUAGGCGGACAUUUAAGUCAGAGGUGAAAUCCCGGAGCUUAACUUCGGAACUGCCUUUGAUACUGGGUGUCUUGAGUGUGAGAGAGGUAUGUGGAACUCCGAGUGUAGAGGUGAAAUUCGUAGAUAUUCGCAAGAACACCAGUGGCGAAGGCGGCUCACUGGCCCGAUACUGACGCUGAGGCACGAAAGCGUGGGGAGCAAACAGG